CGACGUGAGGGAACCUGCCUUGGGGAGGGGGAUAACAACUCCGAAAGGAGUGCUAAUACCGCAUGAUGCAGUUGGGUCGCAUGGCUCUGACUGCCAAAGAUUUAUCGCUCUGAGAUGGCCUCGCGUCUGAUUAGCUAGUAGGCGGGGUAACGGCCCACCUAGGCGACGAUCAGUAGCCGGACUGAGAGGUUGACCGGCCACAUUGGGACUGAGACACGGCCCAG
RNAcentral lists this ribosomal RNA (224 nucleotides) under uncultured bacterium. RNAcentral's name for it is "partial 16S ribosomal RNA". It matches the Rfam family "Bacterial small subunit ribosomal RNA", at positions 113 to 334 of the family's 1533-position model. The record is from RNAcentral.